CAUUAUUGAAAUAAACCUGAUGAGUUGCUGCUGGUUCUCUAGGGAGCAUGUGCACACUUGUCAUCUUUAUAUCUCCACCUGUGCACCUUUUGUAGACCUGGAUAUCCCUCUGAAUGCUAGUCACUCAGGUUUGAGGAUUGACUUUAUGUCUCUCCUUGCAUUUCCAGGCCUAUGUUUCUUUAUAUACCCAAUGUAUGUCAUAGAAUGUAAUCAAUGGGCCUUUGUGCCUAUAAACCUAUACAACUUUCAGCAACGGAUCUCUUGGCUCUCGCAUCGAUGAAGAACGCAGCGAAAUGCGAUAAGUAAUGUGAAUUGCAGAAUUCAGUGAAUCAUCGAAUCUUUGAACGCACCUUGCGCUCCUUGGUAUUCCGAGGAGCAUGCCUGUUUGAGUGUCAUUAAUAUAUCAACCUCUUCAACUUUUGUUUGUCGGGUGUUGGAUUUGGGGGUCUUUUUUGCUGGUCUUGUAUCCUACAGGUCAGCUCCCCUGAAAUACAUUAGCAGAACAAUUUGUGAACCGUUCAUUGGUGUGAUAACUAUCUACGCUAUUGACGUGAAACAGGUUCAGCUUCUAACAGUCCAUUGACUUGGACAACUUUUCAUUAAUGUGACCUCAAAU
RNAcentral lists this ribosomal RNA (616 nucleotides) under Phlegmacium glaucopus. Its description in RNAcentral is "eukaryotic LSU rRNA". The stretch from base 242 to 395 matches the Rfam family "5.8S ribosomal RNA". The record is from RNAcentral. Lineage: Eukaryota; Fungi; Basidiomycota; Agaricomycetes; Agaricales; Cortinariaceae.